AUUGAACGCUGGCGGCAGGCCUAACACAUGCAAGUCGAGCGGAUGAAGGGAGCUUGCUCCUGGAUUCAGCGGCGGACGGGUGAGUAAUGCCUAGGAAUCUGCCUGGUAGUGGGGGAUAACGUCCGGAAACGGGCGCUAAUACCGCAUACGUCCUGAGGGAGAAAGUGGGGGAUCUUCGGACCUCACGCUAUCAGAUGAGCCUAGGUCGGAUUAGCUAGUUGGUGGGGUAAAGGCCUACCAAGGCGACGAUCCGUAACUGGUCUGAGAGGAUGAUCAGUCACACUGGAGCUGAGACACGGUCCAGACUCCUACGGGAGGCAGCAGUGGGGAAUAUUGGACAAUGGGCGAAAGCCUGAUCCAACCAUGCCGCGUGUGUGAAGAAGGUCUUCGGAUUGUAAAGCACUUUAAGUUGGGAGGAAGGGCAGUAAGUUAAUACCUUGCUGUUUUGACGUUACCAACAGAAUAAGCACCGGCUAACUUCGUG
RNAcentral lists this ribosomal RNA (484 nucleotides) under uncultured bacterium. Its description in RNAcentral is "partial 16S ribosomal RNA". It matches the Rfam family "Bacterial small subunit ribosomal RNA", at positions 30 to 507 of the family's 1533-position model. The record is from RNAcentral.